Molecule: long non-coding RNA, 142 nt
Organism: Sinocyclocheilus anshuiensis
Lineage: Eukaryota; Metazoa; Chordata; Actinopteri; Cypriniformes; Cyprinidae
Exons: 3
Source: RefSeq, a predicted model, not a curated record
AAAAUGUAAAAGCAGCUCAGCAAAAUGAUCAUCAGUACCAUGUUCUUUGGGGCUGUACCGUUACGCUGCUCUUCAUACAGCAUCUUCCCACCAUGUAUGACAGCAUCAGCAAUUCAGUAUCUGAAAGAAAAACAAAAGUGCU